AGAGUUUGAUCCUGGCUCAGAACGAACGCUGGCGGCGUGCCUAACACAUGCAAGUCGAACGGGUACAUGUUCGGCACCGUGUGCAUUUUGCCUUUUUAAGGGGGGUGGAGUGGACAGGGUGCCGGACAUGUGCUAGUGGCGCACGGGUGAGUAACACGUAGGCAACCUACCUCAGGGCGGGGGAUAACAUCCGGAAACGGGUGCUAAUACCGCGUAAGCCCACGGAUUGGGAUAUCUGUGGGAAAAGGAGCAAUCCACCUUGAGAUGGGCCUGCGGCCUAUCAGGUAGUUGGCGGGGUAACGGCCCACCAAGCCAAAGACGGGUAGCCGGUCUGAGAGGAUGAACGGCCACACUGGAACUGAGACACGGUCCAGACUCCUACGGGAGGCAGCAGUGGGGAAUUUUGCGCAAUGGGCGAAAGCCUGACGCAGCAACGCCGCGUGAGUGAUGAAGGCUUUCGGGUCGUAAAGCUCUGUCGAGGGGAAAGAAAUGUAUUUGGGCUAAUACCCUUUAUACUUGACGGUACCCCUAAAGGAAGCACCGGCUAACUCCGUGCCAGCAGCCGCGGUAAUACGGGGGGUGCAAGCGUUGUUCGGAAUUAUUGGGCGUAAAGCGCGUGUAGGCGGUCUGAUUAGUCUGAUGUGAAAGCCCUGGGCUCAACCCAGGAAGUGCAUUGGAUACUGUCAGACUUGAAUACGGGAGAGGGUAGUGGAAUUCCUAGUGUAGGAGUGAAAUCCGUAGAUAUUAGGAGGAACACCGGUGGCGAAGGCGGCUACCUGGACCGAUAUUGACGCUGAGACGCGAAAGCGUGGGUAGCAAACAGGAUUAGAUACCCUGGUAGUCC
This 844-nucleotide ribosomal RNA is filed under the name uncultured bacterium. RNAcentral's name for it is "bacterial SSU rRNA". It matches the Rfam family "Bacterial small subunit ribosomal RNA", at positions 8 to 796 of the family's 1533-position model. The record is from RNAcentral.